CUUGGCCGCCGCCCCCCCUGCCCACCUCCUCCUCCCUCCAUUGUUGCAGCCACCAAAACCCUAGCCGCCCUCCCCCAAUCCCCUCCUCCCUAGGUGCUACUCCGUGUCGCUCGGAUCAUCGUCUUUUGGUGCGAAUCUCCAAUCGUUUUGGGGGAAGGAAGAAGGGAGGAAGGAAAAGGGGAGAACCCAAGGUGAUUUUUCUUUUGUGUUCAUCCCUUGUUCAUUUGCGCUGCGAUUCAAUUGAUUAGAUGUUGCGUUUGCGAUUAGAUAGAGGGGGGCUGUCCAGAAUUUUGCGUGGUGGAUGAACAGCGGUAGUUCCAGCAGUUUUUAGGUUUUUUUCGUGAAGAUUUAAUGGGGAUCAAUUUGGGAAUCUUGUAGAACUUUGUUUUAUCUUUCCAACGAGUAUUUAUGCGCUCAAUUUGGAGUUAUAAAUUAAAAGUUAUCAUCGUUUGAAUCCGGGUAUGUGGCUGUCCAGAAAACAGAUUUUUCAGAGUGAUGAACAGCAGCAGUGUUAGCCGUUUCUGGGGAUGUUUCGGGGGUAAUUAGUGUUAAUCAGUAUGAGAAUCUUGUAGAACUUUGUUUUAUCUUUCCAACGAGUAUUUAUGCGCUCAAUUUGGAGUUAUAAAUUAAAAGUUAUCAUCGUUUGAAUCCGGGUAUGUGGCUGUCCAGAAAACAGAUUUUUCAGAGUGAUGAACAGCAGCAGUGUUAGCAGUUUCUGGGGAUGUUUCGGGGGUAAUUAGUGUUAAUCAGUAUGCGAAUCUUGUAUAACUUUGUUUUACCUUUCCAACGAGUAUUUAUGCGCUCAAUUUGGAGUUGUAAAUUAAAAGUUAUCAUCGUUUGAAUCCGGGUAUGUGGCUGUCCAGAAAACAGAUUUUUCAGAGUGAUGAACAGCAGCAGUGUUAGCAGUUUCUGGGGAUGUUUCGGGGGUAAUUAGUGUUAAUCAGUAUGAGAAUCUUGUAGAACUUUGUUUUACCUUUCCAACGAGUAUUUAUGCGCUCAAUUUGGAGUUGUAAAUUAAAAGUUAUCAUCGUUUGAAUCCGGGUAUGUGGCUGUCCAGAAAACAGAUUUUUCAGAGUGAUGAACAGCAGCAGUGUUAGCAGUUUCUGGGGAUGUUUCGGGGGUAAUUAGUGUUAAUCAGUAUGAGAAUCUUGUAGAACUUUGUUUUACCUUUCCAACGAGUAUUUAUGCGCUCAAUUUGGAGUUGUAAAUUAAAAGUUAUCAUCGUUUGAAUCCGGGUAUGUGGCUGUCCAGAAAACAGAUUUUUCAGAGUGAUGAACAGCAGCAGUGUUAGCAGUUUCUGGGGAUGUUUCGGGAGUAAUUAGUGUUAAUCAGUAUGAGAAUCAUGUAGGGCUUUUUCUUAUCUUUCCAACAAGUACUUAUGCGCUCAAAUCGGAAUUAUAUUUUAAAAGUUAUCGCUGUUUGAAUCCGCGUAUGUCGCUGCUCAAAUCAGAAAAAAAAAACAGAUUGCAGGGUUUAUUUUGAGGACCGUUUAGAGGUAAGUAGAUGUUAGAAUUCAAUCAUGAGUUGUAUACAAAACUUGUGGGGAAUUUUAUGUAGUUGUCUCUGAAGUUUUUGUUUAUCAUCACUGCUGUCCUAAAUUUUAAGUUAUGGAAUUGCUAAGCAGCGCCGCUGCAGUUUGGUUAGUGAGGGGAGAAUUGUUACCGCGGCGGGGUUGGAGAUUGCGCGUAGGUGCGGUGUUGUCUUUGAGUUUUGUUUCAUGAGAAUUUGGUGCACUAAGUUGGGUGUCAAAAACAGGUGGUGGACUUCCGGAUCGUUCUUAGGGAUUUUGCCCGAACUUCGGUAAAGGCAAGUAAAACAGUGAUGGUUAUUCCGUCCUUUGAUUGAAGAGUCUUAUACUUGAUUAUGUUUGUGCUAUUUGUGUUUGUAUCCAUAUUCCUAAUUGGGUACCAUCGUUUGAAAUUAUUCAUGCUUUAUUGAUUAUACAUGUGGAGGGUGUGGUUUGAUCAUGUUACCCAUGUGGUUAUUGAUGUGAAAUGGGUGGAAGUAUAUGUCUAGCACAUCUUAUUUGGGAAGAACUCAUGUUGUUGACAUGCAUAAUGCAUUCAUCAUCCAUUGCAUUGAAGUUUUCGUCGCGAUCUUAUGGUCCGACCGUACCGGUACAAUGAGCAUCAUAUGUUUCCCGAGAAGGGGUAUGAUGCAGCUUCAUAUCCUUAGAGGUAUGAAGGCAGAAGUCAUGUUGCAUCUGUAGCCAUGUGCAUUCAUGGGUGAAGUGUGGAACCUAUUUUGGUGAUGUGGAUAAGGUGGUUCUUUACUUUGUAAUUCAUCUUGGCAUUGAGUAAUUGAUUACUUGCUUACUUGCUGCAAAUUAAUAUUUAAGGAAGAAGUUGGGAACCAUGUGGUUGCUUAUGCACGGUUGGCUUGCAUUGUCCAACUGUUGUUUGUUUUUUUUACUUGCUGAGAUGUGUCAUCUCACUCUUGCAUUGUCUAAUGCAGGCACCUGAUCUUUGCUUUGGGAAGGAAGGGAUGUAGCAGCACGACCACCACACUUUUAAAUAAAGGAAUUACUGAUUAAUAAUGAUGUUAAACAGGAAGAGUCAAGUCUAGGGAAUUAUUACAUUCUAAUCUUUCAUGGUAGUUGAACUGUUUAGUUUGGUGGGCGGUGAUGUCUAUCUUUUGUCUGGUCAUGAAUGUUCUUUCCUACCGUUGCAUUUUGAUUAUACUAUGUCAAUUAUCUUUCUUUUAUAUCCUGUAUAAACUAUAUGCUUCCCUUGUUAUGCUACUUUCAAGGGAGGUGCUGCCGGAUUUUGCAAUACUUUCUUUCUCUAUGUGUGGCAUAAGUUUUGUAGGAAGGUUUGUUUUUGGUAUCAUCCAUUGUGUGGGAUCAGUGGGGUGUUACAUUUCCCCUUUAAGUCAGUUCCUUUUCCCGUGAUUGAAUCGAAGCUCCUUUGCGCAUAGCUUCGAAGUAACGGCAACCUUCGUCACGAUCGUGCCUCUCUCAUCGUAUAUGCCUUUGAUCCUGAAUCCGAAGGUACCUGUUUAUAAAGCAUGCUUGGAAGACAUUGUUAAAUUACGUUUUUGAGGACCUUCGGAGGACGAAGGCCCCCAACAAUGCAUGUAUUAUUUUUGGGUGUCUUUUUUUAUUUAUUUAUUUGUUUACAUGAGGUGUUCACAUGGGAUGGUGAAUAGAGAUAACACACACAUAUAGAUAAGGAAACGAUUUUUUUCCUCCUUUUAUAUUAUCUCUUACAAAUCGGGGUAUUACAUAUCAACCUGCGGUCCACUGCGGGGUUGGGCUGAGUCUGUGGAUCACUUAUGAUUUCGCCCCUGCGUUUCUAUAAAUUUUGUGCUCGGUCCAGUGAUCAUUUAAUUUGGGUAAAUAAAUGUGGAAAUGAAAUUUUAGUGUAAAAACAAUUCCUAGAACUUGUUUAAUUCAUAUAAAAUUCAAAUGAAG
This 3412-nucleotide long non-coding RNA is filed under the name Zea mays. Its description in RNAcentral is "long non-coding RNA (ZMAY_LNC005325)". Lineage: Eukaryota; Viridiplantae; Streptophyta; Magnoliopsida; Poales; Poaceae. The record is from RNAcentral.